RNAcentral lists this unclassified non-coding RNA (372 nucleotides) under uncultured Rikenellaceae bacterium. Its description in RNAcentral is "contains 16S-23S intergenic spacer region". Lineage: Bacteria; Pseudomonadati; Bacteroidota; Bacteroidia; Bacteroidales; Rikenellaceae. The record is from RNAcentral.
UCGCACCUUGCGGUGGCAGUCCCGCCAGAGUCCCCAACACUACUUGAUGGCAACUGACGGCAAGGGUUGCGCUCGUUAUGGCACUUAAGCCGACACCUCACGGCACGAGCUGACGACAACCAUGCAGCACCUCGACAACUGUCCGAAGACUAUGCCAUCUCUGGCAUAUUCAGCUGCCGUUCGAGCCCGGGUAAGGUUCCUCGCGUAUCAUCGAAUUAAACCACAUGUUCCUCCGCUUGUGCGGGCCCCCGUCAAUUCCUUUGAGUUUCAGCCUUGCGGCCGUACUCCCCAGGUGGAUGACUUAUCGCUUUCGCUUGACCACCGACACUGUAUCGCCGACGGCUAGUCAUCAUCGUUUACAGCGUGGACUAC